UACGUAGGGUGCAAGCGUUAAUCGGAAUUACUGGGCGUAAAGCGUGCGCAGGCGGUUGUGCAAGACCGAUGUGAAAUCCCCGGGCUUAAUCUGGGAAUGGCAUUGGUGACUGCACGGCUAGAGUGUGUCAGAGGGGGGUAGAAUUCCACGUGUAGCAGUGAAAUGCGUAGAGAUGUGGAGGAAUACCGAUGGCGAAGGCAGCCCCCUGGGCCAAUACUGACGCUCAUGCACGAAAGCGUGGGGAGCAAACAGG
This 253-nucleotide ribosomal RNA is filed under the name uncultured bacterium. RNAcentral's name for it is "partial 16S ribosomal RNA". It matches the Rfam family "Bacterial small subunit ribosomal RNA", at positions 524 to 776 of the family's 1533-position model. The record is from RNAcentral.